Molecule: long non-coding RNA, 2675 nt
Organism: Prinia subflava (tawny-flanked prinia)
Lineage: Eukaryota; Metazoa; Chordata; Aves; Passeriformes; Cisticolidae
Exons: 4
Source: RefSeq, a predicted model, not a curated record
AGUGCAAAAAAAAAGUGAGAUCAUUCUGCUUCUCCCCCUCCUCCUUGGCCAUGCAUUUCCUUUUUUCUGGUGGCCAUGGCAAGCUGAACUAGAAGAAAACAAACCUCACCAUAAAAAAGGUGUAAAAGCCAAGGCAAGCGAACAGAACACCAGAGGUAACAAGAGAUCAAAGGUCUUUUGUGAACGGUGCUGAGCAGCCACCUACCCCACAGAUACUCUAAGAGAAACCUGGAUUUCAGCCCAGUGUCUCUGGGAAUAUGCCUAUGAGAAGGUAUUAGUGGGCAUUACAUACUUGCUGCACUUAGGAAGGUGUGGAAGGAAUGGCAGGGAAGGUAUGGAGUCUAUGGAUUUGGCUUCAAGCAGAGUAACUGCGUGCUCGCAAGCAGCCACUGAUUUUCAACACCCCCCACAUCUGCGAUUUCAUUUUUCACUUGAGAGUCUCUCAAUUUCUCUGGCAUUUCCAGCUGCUGCAUUAGUCUGUGCCAUUAUAAUGCCUGCAGGAUCUAAGAAAUAAUCUAUGACCAUGUUCUCUAGGCUGCUGUGUUUUGCUAACCCAAGGGGAAACACUGACAACACAGUACAGUGCUCUCAGCGUUGUUUCACUCCGCAGGGGAAGGCUGCAAUGAUUUUAAAGGCAGAAAUACUUCUAGAAACUUUGUAAGCACUCUUCAAAGAGCUGGACUGACUGUGAUCAUUGUUCUGACUUUUACCUUGGGAAGGAGGACUUAAAUGCUGUGCUACUGCCUGCAUAUAUUUUAGGAAUGUGUAUUUUUUCCCUUAUUCCUAAACUCUGCUAGUGUUUUAUAAUCAUUUUAGUACUUCACUAACUAUAGCCAAGAGCAGAUACCGAAAGAGGAACCAGAAGACACAACAGGACAUAAAUGUAGAAUUGGGAGAACAUGCUGGGGAAAAGCUUUAUUUCCUAAGGUAUCAGUCAAGGACUUCUUGAAAUAUGUGGUGUCAUUACAUGCAUUUGUCUACCAUGAAUUUAGAAAAUCAAUAAAUUCAUAAUUUUGUGAAGCUGUGCAAACUUGCAGCACUCAAUGUUUUAUUGAAAACAUUUUUACAGUUUCUGAAUAUCAUGCUAUGUUUGCUUCCAUUUAAUCUGCCAUCUGUUUGAUUUUCUGCUUCUUGGAGAAUACAAGACCAUGAUUAAUUGCUCUCUUCCACCUCAUUCAUGGUUGUAUAGACUUCAGUUGUAGCUGCUUCUCUGUUCCUAACAAAGAAGUUGUUUCCUCCCUUGACUAUCCUUGUUGACCCUCUGUAGUUUUAUCAUCCACUUUGAAAACAGAAAUCAAAAAUGAACUAUGUUUAUGGUACAGGCAUAACAUUAUUUAGAUCUUAAAGCAAUAUGUUUUGUUCCAAAUAUUUUUCUUAGCAAUUCCUGUCUUAUUUGCUUUGACAUCUGCUGAUCCUGUGAUGUUUUUGUUUAUGUUUUUGUGGGGUAUCUCAUUCCUAACAUUUAAUUCAGAGCUCAGCUUUGUAAAUGUAAAUAUUAGGAUCAUCCUUUCCUCUUCUACUCAAGGCUAUUUACUGACAUCUAGGUUUCAAAAAAACCCAAAAAACCCAAAAAAAACCAAAGCCAACAACUAUGGCUUACGUAUGAGAAUGGCUUCUGCACCUUGUUAAAACUUCCCAUUUUUACUACUCUGAAUAACCUGGUGUACCAAAACCCUAGUCUCAAUCAACCAGAAAGAGCUAAGGAGCACAGAUCCCUCCUGGCUGUCACUCACAACCCCCCUCAUUGAAAACUGAUGUACAUUGACUUGGAUGGGAAGGGGCCUCCAGAAGGUAUCUACUCCAACCUCCUGCUCACAGUAGGUGAUGCCAGAGCUGAGUAGUCAGGGUCUUGACCAGUCUAGAAUACCUCCAGCUGUGCAGGUUGAGUGGGUUUGUUUUGUCUUUUUUAUUUGGUUGGGGUUUUAACUCCUCCAACGACCUCUCCAGGGCCCUAUUCCAGUUGAUGAUCUCCCCAACAAUUUAAAAAAUCAAACAACCUCCCAAAAACAUAACAGAAACCCCACAACAUCUAACUUAUUAAUGUAUUUUGUUGGAAUUUUCCGUAUCCAGACUUCUCGCUGUUGCAUCUCAUUGUUCUAUCCUGUUUCUUGUCUUUUAAUCACGUGGGGGCAUCCCACUACCUUAUGGUAGUGCAUAUAUACUAGAGCCGUUCGAGAGACCAUCACGUAGAGAACGGAAUUUGGCUUUCCUUUGCAGUAUGUCCUGCAUGAAGAAAUAAGCCAUUGCCUUUUCCCCAGGACCCUACCACUCUAAGUAGUGAUAAUUGCACCUUCUACCUGUUACAAGAAUCUUUUGGUUACAAGUUCUGUGCAGACUGCAAAGCAACCAAUGCUGAGGGACAGAAAGUGCAUGCAAAUCUGUAAAAGCAUGGCUGGGAUGUAAGACUUCUAAACUAACUUUUAAGUAAAUGCUAUUUUACUACAUCAACCAUAACUAUUACUCCAAAUAAUAGUUUCUAAUGUGACUUACCUAAGUAUUUAGAGAGCACCAGGAAAAUGUUACUACAAAUUCUACAUUUAAUGUUGUAGUAUUGAUCAAUAAAGAAACAUAGUUUACACUAUGUAAUUCAGAGAUGUAAUUCGUGAAAUGUGAGCUUCUGUAAAAAUCUUUUAACAUCAUUGACCAAAUUCUUUAACAAAUUCAUAGCAAAGGUA